This is a long non-coding RNA of Mus musculus (house mouse), 1905 nucleotides long. RefSeq annotates it as predicted gene, 40310. The record is from RefSeq and is a predicted model, not a curated record. The transcript is spliced from 2 exons. NCBI's taxonomy places the organism in Eukaryota, Metazoa, Chordata, Mammalia, Rodentia, Muridae.
CAGGACCUCUGGAAGAGCAGUCAGUGCUCUUAACCGCUGAGCCAUCUCUUCAACUCUCCUUUGUCUAUUUUUGAUUGGAUUGUCUUCUUGAUACAUAUAAAAGUUAUUUACUUUUAUCUACCUUUACAUUCUAAUUCUCUCCUGUCUCUCUAUUUAGGAGCCUGGUUCUCGUAGAGCUCAGACUGGCCUCCAGUGAAUUCUGCAGGCAAGCAUAACCUUGAACUCUGGUCCUCUGCCCUUCCCUUCCAAGCUCAGGGGUGCUGUACCAAAGAUGCAAAAGUCAUCCAUAGGCUCUGGACAGCAAACACACGUCAGACCCAUGUACUCCCUGUCUCCUGAGCUGUCAUUUUACAUUCUUUUGUGACCCACCUCCACCACCGCACGAAAGGUUUCAGUUUUGAUGGCGUCAUACUGAACAUUCACGCCCGGCUUUAAGAUUAUAUUUUACUCUAAGAGUUUUACACUGUUCAACUUUUACACCUAGAUCUUUGAUCUGCUGGGUUUCAUUUCAUUUUUACUGUUAUGCUUACAAAGCAAAUGGAUCCCAGGACCUUGCACAUGCUAAAUAAGUCUUAGACACCCGAGCCAUAUUCCUAGGCCUUAUUUGAACUACUUUUUGCGUAUGGUGUGAGAUCAAUGCCUGCUUUAGCCUGUUUUCUGUUGCAAAUAAUACAGUAUCACAGACUAGGUAAAUUAUAAAUUAGUUUAUUUUGGCUCACAGUUCUGGCCCAUGGUGAAGGAGCCAAGCCUCCCCAUGGCCUUCUUGCUGGCAGAGUCCCGGGACAAUUGGGGCACCCCCAAUGACAGGAAGUUCACAUGUCUAGGUCUGUCCUCUGGCUUUCUUACAAAGCUACCAGGUGGGGCGCACCAUAAGGAUCUUAUAUAACCCUAAUCACACCUCAAACGCCCCACUUCUUCACAGUGUGCUGAGAUUGAGUUUCCACCUCACAAUACCUCACGCUGGGGAUUAAACUCGAGCCUGUGCUGCUGCCAGGACGGUAAACCCAGUUCGGACCUCAGGAGGGCUCAGCUUCAUCCUUGGAGCGAUUUCAUUGCAACUGCCCCUGUGGAGUGCUCUGCAAGUCCACAUGGAAUUUCAGAACAGCUUUCUCACUUCCUGUGGCAAAGGCUAUGAAGAUUUGCCUAAGCGUGCACUGUUGUGCCCGUUCAAUAACCCCAAAGACCACCGAGGAGCAGUCUCCUUAGCGUCUUUUUAUUCCAGCCUCAGCUUGACAGCCAACUCUGACAUCACAGGACCCGAGGGUGGAAGCCUCGAGCCCAGUUUCAAGCAAGCAUUUAUAGAGGCAAGCAAACAAGUCAAGAGGGUUUCUAGCCCGGCACACACACGAUUGGGGGACUAUUAUGGAAUUUUGUUGCCCUUUAAAAUUAUUGGCUGGUGCUGGGAGCCAAACCUUAACCUUAACUUCUGCUUUCCUCCUGAUUGGUGGUUGUUAGGAAGUGAAGUGCCAGGGGCAGGCCUGUUGGGGAGUAACCUGGAAACUCUGCUGCGCACAGGCUUAUUGGUUAACUCUAGUUCAACCAUAGGUCAGGUUCUCUAAGACGGGAGUCCGAACCCAAAAUGAAGUUGAUCUGGUCUCGCCUGCUCUACCUGUAGAUCACACUGGUGAGGCUUGCUAUGCUACGUAGCAAUAUCAAGGGUUGCCUCCUGUCAGAGCUAAAUGUCUUUGAUACCCAGGUUUUCACGGCAGCACUGUUUAGUUAGGUUCAGUCCUAAGUAUUUUUAUUUCCUGCUGUGGUUAAAAAUGUGAUUGUAAACUUCAGAUUUGAAUCAUCCACCCCUAAGGCGGAGGAACGCAUCUGGUUUCUGUAUGUUUUUAGUGUCCGUUUAAAGUUCGAUUUAUUUGUCGGCUUACUCAAAAAAAAUAAAAAAUAAAAUAAAAAUGG